AAUUGUUUAAGACCUUUAAAAAUGGUCGCACCUGCUCCUGUUUAAUUACCCAUCCUUUUAACGGACAGAAUUGAAAUUAUUGGACUGAUAAUCAACCGUGUAAAGGUAUACAAACAGCAUUCUUUUAUUAUGUAGAUUUCAUAAAAUAUAAACCAACAUUUGUUGUAAAAACCUAGAAAUUCUUUCGAAGCUGUUAUUGUCCGCUCUGACUUCAGUUCCGUCACAUCUUCCCCGUUGACUCUCUAUAUUAAU
Molecule: long non-coding RNA, 252 nt
Filed under: Octopus vulgaris (common octopus)
Lineage: Eukaryota; Metazoa; Mollusca; Cephalopoda; Octopoda; Octopodidae
Source: RNAcentral